UGGGGAAUAUUGCACAAUGGGCGCAAGCCUGAUGCAGCGACGCCGCGUGGGGGAUGAAGGCCUUCGGGUUGUAAACUCCUUUCGCUAGGGACGAAGCUUUUUGUGACGGUACCUAGAUAAGAAGCACCGGCUAACUACGUGCCAGCAGCCGCGGUAAUACGUAGGGUGCGAGCGUUGUCCGGAAUUACUGGGCGUAAAGGGCUCGUAGGUGGUUUGUCGCGUCGUCCGUGAAAUUCUGGGGCUUAACUCCGGGCGUGCAGGCGAUACGGGCAUAACUUGAGUGCUGUAGGGGUAACUGGAAUUCCUGGUGUAGCGGUGAAAUGCGCAGAUAUCAGGAGGAACACCGAUGGCGAAGGCAGGUUACUGGGCAGUUACUGACGCUGAGGAGCGAAAGCAUGGGUAGCGAACAGGAUUAGAUACCCUGGUAGUCCAUGCCGUAAACGGUGGGCGCUAGGUGUGAGGGUCUUUCUACGACUUUCGUGCCGUAGCUAACGCAUUAAGCGCCCCGCCUGGGGAGUACGGCCGCAAGGCUA
Molecule: ribosomal RNA, 533 nt
Filed under: uncultured bacterium
Lineage: Bacteria
Description: bacterial SSU rRNA
Rfam family: Bacterial small subunit ribosomal RNA
Source: RNAcentral